Molecule: non-coding RNA, 1472 nt
Organism: Callithrix jacchus (white-tufted-ear marmoset)
Lineage: Eukaryota; Metazoa; Chordata; Mammalia; Primates; Cebidae
Source: RefSeq, a predicted model, not a curated record
AGAGGCAGAAGCUUGGGUGAACCAUUUGCUAAGGCCCUGAAAACUACCUUUUUCUCUCACACAAGCAGUUGUUGUAAUCAAAUUGGCUCCAUGCCUAGAGCAGGCUGUGUGACUCAGUGACAGUUGCAAUCAGAGCAUGGAGUUGGAGACAAAGAAGUCAUAGAUCAGGAAAUCACAGUGACGAUGGCCAAUUGGGAUUGGAUGGUUUUAUAUGAGUGGAAUUCUUUUUAAAGAAUUUAAUAUCAUUCAUCAAAGACACAUUUAAUCCUGUUACUUUUGUGUGAGAUUAAAAAAAAUUGUCCUGGUGAUAUUCUGUUCAAUACUACAAUUCUGUAUCAAGGGAAAGCUUCAAGUUAAUAUGUUCAGCAUUUCCAGUGAUCUUGGUUCGAAAACUGAAAAUCACAGAAAGGAAGUGCUGUGGCCAGGUCUACAUGAUACUGUGAAAUAUUUCUUAUCUUGAUUUUGUCCCGGAUAAGAUCCUGGAGCUUGAUAUUUACUGAAUACAUGCUGUUGUGCCAGGCACUAUUGUGGAUGCUUUAAAAAGCAGCAGAGCAGAAGGAAAGAAGCUGAAUCCCUGAUGGCAUCAUGAAACAUUGCCGCAUCUUUAACUGUUUACCUCUGGACUCCAUGAAUCCCCUUCUCUUCAAGCUAAUUUUACUCAGUUGUUUGAUCAUUUUCUGUUAUUUAAAAAGAAAGCUGAAUGAGUUUCUUAUAUACACGAUGCUGUUCUAUUACUGAUCCAAAGCCUAGAAUUGGUCUCCAUCACCCAGGCUGGAGUGCAGUGGCAUGAUUAUGGCUCACUGCAAUUUUGACUUCCCCAGGCUCAGUGAUCCUCCCACCUCCUUCUCCUGGGUAGCUGGAACUAUAGGUGCACACCACCAUGCUGGACUAAUUUUUUAGAGAUGGGUUUUCACCAUGUUGCCCAAGCUGGUCUUGAACUCCUGGGUUUAAGUGAUCCUCCCACCUCAGCAUCCCAAAGUGUUGAGAUUACUGGUGUGAACCACUGUGCUCGGCCUCACAAUAUUUUCUAAUUUGCAUUGUGAUUUCUUCUUUGAUCCAUUGGUUAUUUAGAAAUAUAUUGCCUAAUUUACAAACAGUUUGGAAUAGUCUAGUUACUUUUCAAUUAUUGAUUUAUAGGUUAAUUCCACUGUGGUAAAAAAAAAACCUUACUCUGGGUGAUUAUAUUCUUUAAAGUUUGUUAAAAUUUUUCUUUAUGGCCCAUUAUAAGAUUUAUUUUAGUGAAUGUUCCGUGUGCAUAGUUAAGAAUGCAUAUUCCCAAAUUGUUGCAUAUCACCUUUUAUAUGUAUUAGUUAUGUCAAUUAUUAAUCAUAUUGUUAAAAUCUAUAUAUUUUUUGUUGCCUACUGUCAGUUACUGAGCAAAACAUGUUAUAAUUUUUAGUUACAAUGAAUUUGUCUAUUUUGUUUUAUAUAUUUCAAAACUGUGUUAUUAAAAACAUAAAAAUCCAUGACUU